AAAGUCGUAACAAGGUCUCCGUAGGUGAACCUGCGGAGGGAUCAUUCACAUGAAUCCUUGAAUCAACCAAUCUGUGAACUUGUUUUGGUGGCUCGAGUCUUGCAACUUCGGUUGUUUAAGAUUCGUCAUCAAAUCCUUGUGCACAUUGACAGCUUGCGAAAGCACUGUCAACUGUGUUACUUGGAACCCCACACACAACCUUCACACUCUGUGUGCCUCGAAAGAGACACGCAAAGUGUCGAACAUUCGAUAACCAAAUAGAUAGCUGGACGCAAGUCUCAGCUGACCUGUCAAUCCGUCAAACGAUUGAUUGUGUCAUUCAACAACAUAGAAACAACUCUAUGCCCUGGAUAUCUUGGUUCUC
This 364-nucleotide unclassified non-coding RNA is filed under the name Ascomycota sp. Its description in RNAcentral is "partial contains small subunit ribosomal RNA, internal transcribed spacer 1, and 5.8S ribosomal RNA". The stretch from base 1 to 47 matches the Rfam family "Eukaryotic small subunit ribosomal RNA", at positions 1785 to 1831 of the family's 1831-position model. Lineage: Eukaryota; Fungi; Ascomycota. The record is from RNAcentral.